AUUGAACGCUGGCGGCAGGCCUAACACAUGCAAGUCGAGCGAGCGGCGGACGGGUGAGUAAUGUCUGGGGACUGCCCGCUAGAGGGGGAUAACUACUGGAAACGGUGGCUAAUAUCGCAUACUAUCGGAUAACCCAUAUGGGAUUAGCUAGUAGGUGGGGUAAAGGCCAAACUAGUCGACGAUCUAUAGCUGGUCUGAGAGGAUGAUCCGGAACACUGGUGAUAAGACACGGCACAGACUCCAACGGAGGCAGCGGUGAGGAAUAUAGGACAAUAGGCACAAGCCUGGUGCGGCCAUGCGGAGUAUAAGAGGAAGGCCUUAGGGUUGUAGAGGACUUUCAGCGGGAGGGCGUUACCCGCAGAAGAAGCACCGGCUAAAGCCGUGCCAGCAGCCGCGGUAAUAC
RNAcentral lists this ribosomal RNA (403 nucleotides) under uncultured bacterium. RNAcentral describes it as "partial 16S ribosomal RNA". It matches the Rfam family "Bacterial small subunit ribosomal RNA", at positions 29 to 526 of the family's 1533-position model. The record is from RNAcentral.